AGACCCAGACAGCGACUACAGCGGUGGCGACAGCGCACCCAGACCAGCACAGAGCUGCAGCUAGAGCAUCAGGCUGAGCCAGCCCUGAUUGCCACCUCUUCCCAGCCAAUGGAACAUCAAAUUUGAAGAACUGGACAUGAACAAGUAAGUAAAGAUUUAAACAGAAGUUAUGUGGGCCAUGUGGACUGCUCACAUAGAUGUGCAUGUGGCUAGGAAAUACAAAGAUUAAUAACAUGCACAGUAUUUGAAGUGGUCUCAGAUCAAAACAUCAAAUGAGUCACAUCAUUGGUGUAAUAAAAGAAACAUUUAAAGGGAACACCACCAUCACAAAACCAGAUGCUGACUUUCUAAGAGAAGAAAACUAGAUACAACAAAGACUACAAGGGACUGAUUGCUUCUACGGCAAGUAUGAUUCUUCCCCACCUCUCUAAAAGACACAAAGACUUUCCAGGACUAGAAAAGCCUCCCAGCCAAAGGCUGUACGUUAUGUUCUGACACUAUAAAUCAUGGUUGGAAGUGACUUGUUGGUAUUUUUUUUUUCAUAAUAAAGUGAGCUAAAGUCUCCCCAAUUGUUUGCUUGUACCUGGUCCAGUGGAUUGUCCUUCCCCUCAUCUCUGCCCAGUAGUUUCUGUUUGGGGGAAGAUUAACUGCCUUGGCAGCCCUCACAGGUACCAUGUAUUGGUCCCUCCACCGUUUAAUUCUCUAUGUCACUGUCCAACUCCCAUAAAGGGUGUUAUCACCAAAGGGUGUGAAUAGUUGAAGUUAAAUCUGUUUCACAGUUCACUGAAAAGUAGGACGUUGCAGUAGUUUAAAGCUGUGUGACUGUUCCCUGAAGGCCUGUGUGUUAAAGGUUUCUUUCCCAGCUUGGCACUCUUGGCAGGUGGUGACAAUGUCAACAGAUGGGGCCUAGUGGGAGAUCUGUUAGCAACUGAAGGCAUGCCUGAGAGGGCAGUGAUUCCCUUUCCUUUCCCCUUUUUACUCUGUGUCACUUCCCAGCUGUGGCACAAGCACUUGGUUCCAACCCUGGGAUUGAACAGACGUUAUCACACUUGCAAGCAGCACUUCAUUGACUCAGUUAUUUUGUUCAUUCUUCUGGCAAAAUCCCCAAGGAAUAACAUGAACUGUUUUUCACUAAGAUAGAAGCAACCGUUCAAGCAGUCACCUGUGCACACGAACAUUCCUUGUCAUUCACGCGUUUCCUGAAACAGUCUUUGAAAAACAUACAUCGUCUCUCAUCCACAUUCUUUAAGGCUCAGCAUGCCCCUUGUCUCAUGGUUCUAACACUGUUGCAGAGGCAGAAGGCAAUGGCUUUUCUUUUUCUAUAGUUAAUGGCUCCACCUCACAAGCAGGUCUAGGGAACCUCUAAGAGAGAGUUGCUUCAGGAAAAUAAUUUUUGAUAAUAUUUUUAUUUAGAUAAAUGCCAAAAUAAUAGAAAAGUUACAGGAACCAUACAUGGAGCUUCCGUACAUCUUUUACUUGGAUUAUAUACAGUAAAUCCCUCCAUUUGCUCCAGGUGUACACAGGUGGCCGAGGUGAGAGGGAUCGUAUAUCAUAUACACAUGAGAGAUCCACGGAGUUUCUUCCCACCGCUUGGGCUGGAACUCAGGACAGCAUACAUGCUAGGUGGUUGCUCUGCCGCUGAGCUCUAUCUCCAUCCCUAAAAGGCAGUGUGGAAUUCUAAUUAAUGUACAAGCUUCUGAAUCAGAUUAUUACUAACAUAGCAACUUCCUAAAUACACAGGUGAUGAGAACAAUGUCCUGUUUGAUGCUUCUAAUUGCCUGUAAUUCCUAUUACUUUCCUUGUAAUGAAUUUUAAUUCCAGAAAGAAGAAAUGAGUGAGUGUUUAAUAAGACACUACCAACCUUUAAAGAAUUCCACUGGAGUGUUUUAGUCGUACCCCUGGGAAACUAGAGCUAGGCAAGUGAUGACAAUUACUCCCGAUGCCUGGAGACUAGUGGAGGUAGUAAAGGACUUUUAAACUGAUUUUCUUUUCAAAUCCUUUCAUAAAAAGUCAGAACAUCGAUAGUUCCGCUAAUACCGGUUCAAAAACCCAACUGUGCAUCUGUUUUAAAGUCAUAUCCUUUUACCAAAUUGAACACUGGGACUUAACACUGGGGAGAAUAUAAACUGACAUCAUUAGCAAUAAAAUCCAAGCUCCGUGGUGAUGGAGUCACUCAGGAACAGAGCACUUGCCUAGCAUUCACAAGCUCUGUGUUCAAUCCCCAGAAUCACACAUCCAUGUGCAAUGAGAGGGGAAGAAAGGGGGCUGGAGAGGAAGGCAUGGGAGGCACAAGAAAUGAGUUCAGACUCCAGAAAAACGUAUAUAAAUUCCCAAACCGAAACCACAGUAAGGUUUUCUCCAUCGGUGUUCAUGCUUUCUUUAGAAAAUGCUAUUAAGAUAUUUUAACUAGAAUAAAAACUUCACAGAUACACACCAAAUAAUACAAAACUUGAUUCUUAACACAUACUCUAAAAUGGUCAGCAGAAAUACUUAAGAAGCUAUCAAAAAAGAUUAAAAUGAGUUCCAUUUUCUACUUCUGAGCUAAAACAAAUUUUCCCCUUGGGUUUCAUGGCUCAACAUGGCAGUAGAGGGUCAUUUGGACAUGUGUGUGUGAGAACACUUUACCACUGUGCUCUACUGCAGGCUCUCUGUAUGCAAACAUUGCUUUAAUUGAAUUAGAAUAUUAUAUUUUAACUCAGGCUGUAAGUCUUUUUAUUCUGAAAUGUUUGCUGUUAGUAUGUUUUACAUGGAUUAAUAGGAAGUAAAUUUUCAUUAUUAAGUACAACAGGCUUUAUUACAUAUAGAGUCAAAACAAAAAGGCGUUUGUUUUAUGA
This is a long non-coding RNA of Peromyscus californicus insignis, 2834 nucleotides long. RefSeq lists it as uncharacterized. The transcript has 2 exons. The record is from RefSeq and is a predicted model, not a curated record. Lineage: Eukaryota; Metazoa; Chordata; Mammalia; Rodentia; Cricetidae.